Long non-coding RNA from Engraulis encrasicolus (European anchovy), 663 nucleotides. RefSeq lists it as uncharacterized. Lineage: Eukaryota; Metazoa; Chordata; Actinopteri; Clupeiformes; Engraulidae. The record is from RefSeq and is a predicted model, not a curated record. The transcript has 7 exons.
GUUUCAAAUUUCAACUGACAAUAUGGGCCACGCUGCAGAAAAUGCUCAAGAAGUCGGUGAAAUUAAAGUCCUAUGUAAGUUGAGAAGAUAGCCAGGGAGCCUGUUGCUGGGUGGAGCUGUCUUGUUACUGUACGUGACCAUGUCUGAAAAUAAGUGGAACUAGUCAGUUUCUGAAGCAAAGAAGAUGGCCAGGACUCCAUGCUGAUAGAUGGGAGCCAGAUAGAGUUGGUAGAGCUACCCAGUUCUACUCUCUACUCUACCCAAGACACUUGCUGUUGGAUGGAAGCUGUCUGGUUUCAGUACAUACCUAAAUAUGCUGAGCCAGGCACGCCUUACUGCUGGAUAGGAGCUGUCUUAAGUUGCUAGAGCUGAGGAGACAGCCGGGCACUCCUUGCUGCUGGAUGGGAACCGUCUACAUUUGCUAGAGUGUUCCUCUGGCUGCAGUCUUCUCUCAUAAGAAUGAGGGGGAUAAUGAUCCCUGCCCUGACUCUCCACACAGCCAGGGAGAGCGCGAGUAACGUGUGCACGCACACGAGCAUGCACACGCACACACACACACACACACACACACACACACACACACACUACUGGAUGUCUUUCUGGAUGUCAGUGUUGUUUUAAUUAAUUAUGUGUGUGUCUUUUGUAAAAAAUAAAAAAAAAUAA